CCCAGGAUAGUUGGAGAAAGUUAUUAAAAUUCUAAAAACUUUAACCACAGAGUGAAUGUUUUGUUUCCCCGCAGAAAAAACUAAGUCCAUUUAUAGUAAAAUACAGAAAAAAUGGAAUUUUAUUUUUACAAAAUUUACUUCUGGAUACUAUCUUAUGAUCAUAAACAAGCUUCUGUCAAAGUUUGGUAGAAAUCCAGUAUAGUUUAAGAAAGUUAUUAAAAUUUCAAAAACUUUAACCACAGAGUGAAUAUUUGUUGACGCCGCCGACGACGGAAUGUAGGAUCGCUUAGUCUCGCUUUUUCGACUAAAGUCGAAGGCUCGACAAAAAUGACAG
This 334-nucleotide long non-coding RNA is filed under the name Mytilus galloprovincialis (Mediterranean mussel). Lineage: Eukaryota; Metazoa; Mollusca; Bivalvia; Mytilida; Mytilidae. The record is from RNAcentral.